Molecule: ribosomal RNA, 445 nt
Filed under: uncultured Bacillota bacterium
Lineage: Bacteria; Bacillati; Bacillota
Description: bacterial SSU rRNA
Source: RNAcentral
GAGUUUGAUCAUGGCUCAGGACGAACGCCGGCGGCACGCCUAACACAUGCAAGUCGAACGGAGAUAUUUUGGUUUACUGAGAUAUYUUAGUGGCGGACGGGUGAGUAACACGUGAGCAACCUGCCUYUGAGAGAGGGAUAGCUUCUGGAAACGGAUGGUAAUACCUCAUAACAUAACGAAGCCGCAUGACUUUGUUAUCAAAGAUUUAUCACUCAGAGAUGGGCUCGCGUYUGAUUAGAUAGUUGGUGAGGUAACGGCCCACCAAGUCGACGAUCAGUAGCCGGACUGAGAGGUUGAACGGCCACAUUGGGACUGAGACACGGCCCAGACUCCUACGGGAGGCAGCAGUGGGGAAUAUUGCACAAUGGGGGAAACCCUGAUGCAGCGAUGCCGCGUGGAGGAAGAAGGUUUUCGGAUUGUAAACUCCUKUCUAAAGGACGAUAAA